CGCCCAACUUCGUCGCGCUUAAACUAACAAUUGAUUCAGUAACUGAAUUUAGAACAGUGUAAUCGAAAGCUUCUAACUUGCUUAUAAAUUUGCUUCUGAAUUCAGUCGAUUUUUGGGGGUCGAUUGCUUCCCGCUUCCGUAGGCUUAACCCGCGAUUCCCUAUAAAUGACCCCUGGGUGGUGCUAAACGGGAGUCGAAAACAUAAUCGGUGGUAGGACUAGUCCGACUGGCUGGCGACCGCCCUCCAUAGUUGAGUGAGUUCGCCGCCAAAUAGCCUAGCUGUGUUCCGGCGUGUGGGUUGGAGAGCCAGUUUUAUUCCUUUUCUUUCCUCUUCCUUGUUGGGGGUGAAUCUUGAUGAUACCUGGAACAUGCGGAGCAGACGUGCGUGCGAGCUUGCGGGACGUGAUUGUUUGACGGGGAUCUGUGGAAGUGCACAAACGUGGGAAAAUGCAACAAAGCUGCUGGACCUAACUUCUCGGGAUCCUCCAAAAAGUCCACUGAAAAAAUCUCUGUAAAUGACCACCAUUUUACUGAGAUUAUAUUUCACCCCAAAUAAUCUCAUCUCAUUUCAUAUCAUCUCAUCCCAUUUCAUUUAAUUUCAUCCCAGUUGAUUAAUGACUCAAAUUAAUUAUCUUCUGUUUAUUUCAUUUUACUCCACACUACCAAUCAUUUUUCAUAAAAAUAAGAAUAUAAAUUGAAAUAAGAAUUGUCCUAAAGGACUUAGUUACCAGGUCGUAAAAUCCCUUAAAAAAAAACAAGAUUUCGAUAAGAUUUACAUUUUACAUGCAAUAAAUGCAAUAAUUCAAUUUAACUUUGGUUCGGAGAUGAUCAAUUAUGAUUAUUUUUCUUUUAAUCGAUAUAAUUGUUUUUUGUACCCUUUAAAUUCGUCUUCUGCCGUAUUUGCAUAACAACAAAUCUUGAAAUUAACGCAAAAAAAAUUAAGUCGAUUUAUUGAGAUUUUAAGUUUACUCACUAAAUUGCACUGUUCGUCUCUGGAAAUUAUUUUAGGAAGAUAUCGUCUUAUUUAUAUGUCCUGUAUAUCAUUCGGGACGAGAUUUGACGACAUUUGAAAAAAAUAUCUAAAGGUUAAAAUGUUGCCGCCGGAUUAUCCACGAACUCGCCCGAAAUCUAAAUUGGUUUGUUUAAAAAAAUGUAAAGCACAGUGAAAUGCUGAAUGCACCACCAAUUUACCACAUGAAUAGUUGAAUCUGCUACAGAAGAAGGAAGGUUUAUAUAAUUAGGUACAUUCAAAAAGGAGGAGAUUUGAACCACUUCGAUCAUAGUCAAACACUUGAACUAUGUGGGUUUUUUUGGCAAAAAUUAAAUAUGGAGCUAAAAGAGGUGAAGCUGCAAUGGAGGAUAUGCAAAAUAUGCUCUGAAAUCAUGGACAUUAUAUUUUGAAAUAGGUUGGUGAAGGUUUAUAAUGCAAUGGAGAACGCUUUCAAUAUAUAUAGAUUGUUUUAUUGAUGGUUUAUGCAAAAAACUUAGUGUACCUUAAAUAAUAAGAUAAUGAAGAAAUAUGAAUUAAAAGAAAACUAUAAACUAA
Bombyx mori (domestic silkworm) is the source of this 1546-nucleotide long non-coding RNA. RefSeq lists it as uncharacterized. The record is from RefSeq and is a predicted model, not a curated record. The transcript has 2 exons. Lineage: Eukaryota; Metazoa; Arthropoda; Insecta; Lepidoptera; Bombycidae.